GGCUAUGAAAAAAUGUUCGGUUUUGUAAAAUACCUUUAUCAUACAAAACAAUUGCGAACCUCACUAUUUUCCCCAUAUAUAUACAAAAUCGAUAGCCAAGAGUAUUUACUCUUCGGCUUGCGUUAGAAAGCCGCUCUUUCUCGUUGAUUUUUUUUGCGCUACCUUCAAAACGGCUUAUCACAGCGCCAAGAAUCGAACCUGAACUCAACGAAAGGUAUUUGCUUCAUUCAUGUAUGUGUAAGAGCACGCGAUAGCUGUCGCCAAAUUCUAUAGCUGCCGUCUUCUCUUCGGUGAUGCUUUCGUUUGCUCUUCACAGAUCAUUUCCAUCUGCAGCUCUUUCAAGCGUGGUGAGCUUUGCUGAGCAUGGUGAGUUCGAGCCUGCACGAACGAUUCGGUCGCAUUAGUUAUCUGUGAGGCUGCAACGGGAGCGGAUCGUUGCUGAUAAGCUAAUGAACCGCAAGAAGAGCGUGGGAAAAAUGAAGAGGCCUGCUUUAGAAAUAUUCACCUAUUUUUGUUAUGUGGAAAAAAGAGAAUUUAUUUAUAGCUGCAGCUGGACACACUUGUCGUGCUUAUCAAAUUGUGAAUAAAGUGUUGAUUACUUAAUUGUGAAUGGUCGAAACGAAGGAGAGAGAGAAAGAUAUGCCUUACAAAAAUAUUGCCUAAUAGUUGAGGAUGAUAAUGAUGGGAUGGAAUUCUUUAAAAUAUACAAAUAUAUAAUAUAAUAUAAUAUUUAAAAAUAUUGCCUAAUAGUUGAGGAUGAUAAUGAUGGGAUGGAAUUCUUUAAAAUAUACAAAUAUAUAAUAUAAUAUAAUAUUUAAGAAUAUUGUAAACUAUUCGAAUAAUAAUUAAAUAUUGUUAAAUAAAAAAAAAAAAUAUUUUCUUAUAUUUUUUAA
Drosophila montana is the source of this 893-nucleotide long non-coding RNA. RefSeq lists it as uncharacterized. The transcript has 2 exons. Lineage: Eukaryota; Metazoa; Arthropoda; Insecta; Diptera; Drosophilidae. The record is from RefSeq and is a predicted model, not a curated record.